This 626-nucleotide ribosomal RNA is filed under the name Staphylococcus aureus. Its description in RNAcentral is "bacterial SSU rRNA". It matches the Rfam family "Bacterial small subunit ribosomal RNA", at positions 196 to 810 of the family's 1533-position model. Lineage: Bacteria; Bacillati; Bacillota; Bacilli; Caryophanales; Staphylococcaceae. The record is from RNAcentral.
AAAAGUGAAAGACGGUCUUGCUGUCACUUAUAGAUGGAUCCGCGCUGCAUUAGCUAGUUGGUAAGGUAACGGCUUACCAAGGCAACGAUGCAUAGCCGACCUGAGAGGGUGAUCGGCCACACUGGAACUGAGACACGGUCCAGACUCCUACGGGAGGCAGCAGUAGGGAAUCUUCCGCAAUGGGCGAAAGCCUGACGGAGCAACGCCGCGUGAGUGAUGAAGGUCUUCGGAUCGUAAAACUCUGUUAUUAGGGAAGAACAUAUGUGUAAGUAACUGUGCACAUCUUGACGGUACCUAAUCAGAAAGCCACGGCUAACUACGUGCCAGCAGCCGCGGUAAUACGUAGGUGGCAAGCGUUAUCCGGAAUUAUUGGGCGUAAAGCGCGCGUAGGCGGUUUUUUAAGUCUGAUGUGAAAGCCCACGGCUCAACCGUGGAGGGUCAUUGGAAACUGGAAAACUUGAGUGCAGAAGAGGAAAGUGGAAUUCCAUGUGUAGCGGUGAAAUGCGCAGAGAUAUGGAGGAACACCAGUGGCGAAGGCGACUUUCUGGUCUGUAACUGACGCUGAUGUGCGAAAGCGUGGGGAUCAAACAGGAUUAGAUACCCUGGUAGUCCACGCCGUAAACGAU